UGAGUUUGAUCCUGGCUCAGAACAAACGCUGGCGGCGUGCAUAACACAUGCAAGUCUGACGGGAAUGCCGGCUUCGGCUGGCUAGUACCGUGGCGAACGGGUGAGUAACACGUGGGUAAUCUAACCUCGAGCUCGGGAUAACCUUGCGAAAGCGGGGCUAAUACCGGAUAAGACCACGCCUUGUACGCAGGGCGCGGUAAAAGGUGGCCUCUUCUUGAAAGCUAUCACUUGAGGAUGAGCCCGCGGCCUAUUAGCUAGUUGGUAGGGUAACGGCCUACCAAGGCGACGAUGGGUAGCCGGCCUGAGAGGGUGUACGGCCACACUGGAACUGAGACACGGUCCAGACUCCUACGGGAGGCAGCAGUGGGGAAUUUUGCGCAAUGGGGGAAACCCUGACGCAGCAACGCCGCGUGAGUGAUGAAGGCCUUGGGUCGUAAAGCUCUUUUAGUGGGGAAGAAGCCCGCCCGGGCUAAUAUCCCGGGUGGAUGACGGUACCCACAGAAAAAGUUCCGGCUAACUACGUGCCAGCAGCCGCGGUAAUACGUAGGGAGCAAGCGUUGUUCGGAAUUAUUGGGCGUAAAGAGCGCGUAGGCGGUUUGGUAAGUCUGACGUGAAAUCCCGGAGCUCAACUCCGGAACUGCGUUGGAUACUGCCAGGCUUGAGUGUGGGAGAGGUGAGUGGAAUUCCCAGUGUAGAGGUGAAAUUCGUAGAUAUUGGGAGGAACACCCGUGGCGAAGGCGGCUCACUGGACCACAACUGACGCUGAGGCGCGAAAGCUAGGGGAGCAAACGGGAUUAGAUACCCCGGUAGUCCUAGCCGUAAACGAUGGGCACUAGGUGUUGGAGGUAUCGACCCCUCCAGUGCCGCAGCUAACGCAUUAAGUGCCCCGCCUGGGGAGUACGGUCGCAAGACUAAAACUCAAAGGAAUUGACGGGGGCCCGCACAAGCGGUGGAGCAUGUGGUUUAAUUCGACGCAACGCGAAGAACCUUACCUGGGCUUGACAUCCCCCGAAGGUGCUGGAAACAGUACCGUCACUUCGGUGACGGGGAGACAGGUGCUGCAUGGCUGUCGUCAGCUCGUGUCGUGAGAUGUUGGGUUAAGUCCCGCAACGAGCGCAACCCUUACCCUUAGUUGCCAGCGGUCCGGCCGGGAACUCUAAGGGAACUGCCGGCGAUAAACCGGAGGAAGGUGAGGAUGACGUCAAGUCCUCAUGGCCUUUAUGCCCAGGGCUACACACGUGCUACAAUGGCCGGUACAAAGAGUCGCAAACCCGCAAGGGGGAGCCAAUCUCAAAAAGCCGGUCUCAGUUCAGAUUGCGGGCUGCAACUCGCCCGCAUGAAGGCGGAAUCGCUAGUAAUCCCGGAUCAGCAUGCCGGGGUGAAUACGUUCCCGGGCCUUGUACACACCGCCCGUCACACCACGAAAGUCAGUUGUACCAGAAGUCGCUGCGCCAACCCGCAAGGGAGGCAGGCGCCGAAGGUAUGAUUGGUGAUUGGGGUGAAGUCGUAACAAGGUAGCCGUAGGGGAACCUGCGGCUGGAUCACCUCCUUUCU
This 1554-nucleotide ribosomal RNA is filed under the name uncultured bacterium. RNAcentral describes it as "bacterial SSU rRNA". It matches the Rfam family "Bacterial small subunit ribosomal RNA". The record is from RNAcentral.